Non-coding RNA from Pygocentrus nattereri (red-bellied piranha), 73 nucleotides. Lineage: Eukaryota; Metazoa; Chordata; Actinopteri; Characiformes; Serrasalmidae. The record is from the annotation of a RefSeq genome assembly.
GGCUGGCUAGCUUAGUUGAUAAGGCAUUAGACUCGGGAUCUCAGGGUUGUGGGUUCGAGCCCCAUGUUGGCCA